AGUCGGCACUUGAGACUUGGGAGGUGGUGCAGUGGAUAUCAAACUGACACAUCCUCGCCGCCGGUGAAGCGUCGAGGGAUCGAGCCAUCGUGGCCGCGGCGGCUGCGGAGGAGGAGGAAGGGGGGCCUCGAUCGGCGGGAUGGAGGAGCGCAAGGGCGCCGGCAUCCUCGCCAUGGGCAUCUCUACUCCCCUCCAACCUGCCCCAGCAGGUUUAUGCAGAAGGACCAGCUCGUCCUACUGGUGCUGCUGCUGCGAUGGCAAUGCUUAUCGGCCCAGAUGCUCCUAUACAUCUCUUUUGAAAGAAAAUAUAAAGCUUCUCAUAUGGCUCAUGUAUACCAUUUCUACAAGCCAGAUCUUGCAAGUGAAUACCCGAUUCCCUUUCAGGGAUGGUGGCCAUGACAUCAGGCAUGAAAAGCUUGUGGGAGAGCAGUUCUCAAUAUCUGAUGCAGUUAUAAGGUAUAUCUGAUGCAGUUAUAGCUUGUGCAGAAGAGUAUUGCUCGGAUUUUCUUCAAUGACUUCAUGCGCGAUUCAGGUCCAUUUUGUUCGCUUUACGCUUAAAUUGCAUUCAUUUUCCUACUUAAUAUGUAGCCUCAUGGUCUGUCAACCAAAUAAUGUUCUGAAAUUCUCUCCCAUUUUGGGGCUUCAAGUUACCCCCUUUUGUUAUUUUGGGGCUCAGUUGAUAACGACGCUAAAGAGAAGCUGCUAUCUUUUGCAAAUUUGACUAGUCAAGAAAGUUACCAAAGCCGCGACUUGAAGAAGGCCUCUCAACGAGUUGCAAAGAAUUUGUAUGACAUCAAAGUACAACCAUCAAUUUUGCUUCCUAAACAAAUAGGGGCUUGACAUCUUCUCAUUGAGAUUACAUGAGGGCUACCAUCCUUUCAGCAGCGAACAUUGCUUCUGUGCUUGAUGUGACAGUGACAGCAAAGCUCGAGUCAAGACAUGUGAUUCGUAUGGUCUUCUAUUACUAAAUUCUUCAUUCAGUUUGGUACAAUUUGUUGACCUACAACCCCAACAAGCAUUUUGAAGAAACUAGCACACAGAAAUAUGGCAAUGAUCAUUGCAUCACCCAUGCUUUAGCUUAUCAUGUCUCUUUAAUACAGAACUAGUACGCACAAAAAUAGAGUUGAGUUUUAUGACCAAACUUGUCCCAAAAAUUUAUUUCGUGAUCUGAGAAGUUCCCUUGCUUGCAAUUUUUUUCUCUCCUAAGCUGUCUAUCUUGAUCCCUCGUUUGUAACUUAACAUCACCUGAGAAAUUUGCCGAGACACUGAAGCUGAUGGAGAACCGUUACCGAGUGAAAGAUUUUGACACAAGCAAAGAUACAGGCCUGUUGCCACCUGGUACAUUCUAUCUUACAAAAGUCGAUUCCAUCUAUAUGAGGUUCUACAACAAGAAGGCGUCCGACAACAUUGCUUGGGGUGAAAUCAAGUUCAGCAAUCCCAUAGCAAAUGGCCUAUAGUGGUGAAAGCAUAUAGCAAAAUAAUGUUGCUAGAUUGUUGGCAUUAUUAUUCUGAUGUAUUAUGCUUAGAACUCUCAGUUUAGCCAUCUUGCAAAUAAUUGUUUUCUGAAACUAUUCACCCUAAACCCUCGGCUUGUUUUUGUGCUGAGCCAGGACAAGAACCUCUUUUGUUUCCUGAUGCUCGAUAUCUUUGUUA
RNA transcript from Panicum virgatum (switchgrass), 1653 nucleotides. RefSeq lists it as uncharacterized. NCBI's taxonomy places the organism in Eukaryota, Viridiplantae, Streptophyta, Magnoliopsida, Poales, Poaceae. The transcript is spliced from 6 exons. The record is from RefSeq and is a predicted model, not a curated record.